RNAcentral lists this ribosomal RNA (253 nucleotides) under uncultured bacterium. Its description in RNAcentral is "partial 16S ribosomal RNA". It matches the Rfam family "Bacterial small subunit ribosomal RNA", at positions 524 to 776 of the family's 1533-position model. The record is from RNAcentral.
UACGAAGGGAGCUAGCGUUGUUCGGAAUCACUGGGCGUAAAGCGCACGUAGGCGGAUGUGUCAGUCAGGGGUGAAAUCCCGGAGCUCAACUUCGGAACUGCCCUUGAUACAGCACGUCUUGAGUCCGGAAGAGGUGGGUGGAAUUCCUAGUGUAGAGGUGAAAUUCGUAGAUAUUAGGAAGAACACCGGUGGCGAAGGCGGCCCACUGGUCCGGUACUGACGCUGAGGUGCGAAAGCGUGGGGAGCAAACCGG